Molecule: small nuclear RNA, 104 nt
Filed under: Phascolarctos cinereus (koala)
Lineage: Eukaryota; Metazoa; Chordata; Mammalia; Diprotodontia; Phascolarctidae
Source: RNAcentral
GUGCUUGCUUAGGCAGUACAUUUACUAAAAUUGGAACAAUCCAGAAGAUUAGCAUGGCCCUAUGCAAGGAUGACAUAUAAAUUAGUGAAGUGAUUCAUAUUUUU